RNAcentral lists this ribosomal RNA (305 nucleotides) under uncultured bacterium. Its description in RNAcentral is "bacterial SSU rRNA". It matches the Rfam family "Bacterial small subunit ribosomal RNA", at positions 337 to 659 of the family's 1533-position model. The record is from RNAcentral.
ACCUACGGGACGCAGCAGUCGGGAAUAUUGCGCAAUGGAGGAAACUCUGACGCAGUGACGCCGCGUAUAGGAAGAAGGUUUUCGGAUUGUAAACUAUUGUCGAUAGGGAAGAAAAAAGACUGUACCUAUCAAGAAAGCUCCGGCUAACUACGUGCCAGCAGCCGCGGUAAUACGGAGGAUGCGAGCGUUAUCCGGAUUUAUUGGGUUUAAAGGGUGCGCAGGCGGAGGUGCAAGUCAGCGGUCAAAUUGCGGGGCUCAACCCCGUACUGCCGUUGAAACUGCAUCCCUUGAGUGCGCGAGAAGUA